Molecule: ribosomal RNA, 497 nt
Filed under: uncultured bacterium
Lineage: Bacteria
Description: bacterial SSU rRNA
Rfam family: Bacterial small subunit ribosomal RNA
Source: RNAcentral
GACGAACGCUGGCGGCGUGGAUUAGGCAUGCAAGUCGAACGGUAUCAUCCUUUCGGGGGUGAGAGAGUGGCGAACUGGUGAGUAACACGUAGGUUAUCUACCCUCAAGACGGGGACAACCCAGGGAAACUUGGGCUAAUACCGGAUGUGAGCAACUUUUAGUUGUUUGAAAGGUGGCGUAAGCUGUCGCUUGGGGAUGAGCCUGCGUCCUAUUAGUUAGUUGGUGAGGUAACGGCUCACCUAGGCAAUGAUAGGUAGGCGGCCUUAACGGGUGGUCGCCCACACUGGGAUUGAGAUACGGCCCAGACUCCUACGGGAGGCAGCAGUCGAGAAUAGUCUACAAUGGUCGGAAGACUGAUAGUGCGACGCCGCGUGAACGAUGAAUCCCUUCGGGGUGUAAAGUUCUUUUAUAUGUGAGCAGUGCUUCUUAUAUUAACAGUAUGGGGAAGAGAUAUUAGCAUAUGAAUAAGCAACGGCUAACUCCGUGCCAGCAGCCGC